Long non-coding RNA from Anolis carolinensis (green anole), 890 nucleotides. RefSeq lists it as uncharacterized. The transcript has 2 exons. NCBI's taxonomy places the organism in Eukaryota, Metazoa, Chordata, Lepidosauria, Squamata, Anolidae. The record is from RefSeq and is a predicted model, not a curated record.
GUCCAGGCAGCCAUGGCCAGCAGCAGGAUUAACCCUAAUGAGGCUCGGAACCCCUUUGUCUCCUGGGUGACCAUGUCAACACACACGCCUCUGGAAUCCAGGGUUGUGUGUUCUGAAGGGUUUGGCUGGACACAAAGGGAGGAAGAGGGGCUUCAUGGCCCGUCUUUCUCUAGAACGUCUGAUCAAAGGCCCAAAAUGAAACCCCAGGAUCUCUUCUGAAGUCAUUCCACGUGUCUCCUAUACUCAAGGACUCCUUUGGCUUUUCUUCCUUUCUGCAAAAAUGGGAGGCCCUUUUGUUAGUGCAGAAAGGCCAGGAAGACCUUGCUCUACUGCGGCCACUUGUGACUUGAUUUCGGAAGGAAGUCUCUCUGCUUCCAACUGGUUGAACUUUGAAGCUUGUUUUUGACCAACACAGGAUUCCUCUUCAUGUGACAUGAUGAGCCUGAUCCUGAAUAGUUGGGUUGGAUCAAGGAAGAAAGGGUUCAGGUGCUGGAAAAAAGCCUCCUGUCUUUUAAACGGCCACCUAACAUCUUUCCAUAACACUUGGAUCAUAUUUCCACAUCUGGUGGUCAUGUACUGAAACAAGGAAAUAUUGGAAGAUGAUACACGCAGAGUCUCAAAAAAUAUUAAGGAAAAACUUCCCAAUGAAACCAGAAUACUACCUAUUAGGAUUGACAGAUUCGGAAGCAAACUGACUUAAACAAGAUAAACUAUUUAUGUAUAUUAGUACGGCAGCAAGGAUUAUUCAUGCAAAACAUUGGAAACUACAAGAUGUUCCAACUAAGGAAGAAUGGCAAGGAAAAAUUGAAGAUAUUAGAGACAUGGACGAACUAACGUUUCUCUUAAGAGCACACAGAGAACAUUCAAUAAACAAGACUGACUGGAAUUUA